UGGGGAAUCUUCCGCAAUGGACGAAAGUCUGACGGAGCAACGCCGCGUGAGUGAAGAAGGCCUUCGGGUCGUAAAGCUCUGUCUUCAGGGACGAAUGUGCAGGAUGUGAAUAAUGUCUUGUAAUGACGGUACCUGAGGAGGAAGCCACGGCUAACUACGUGCCAGCAGCCGCGGUAAUACGUAGGUGGCAAGCGUUGUCCGGAUUUAUUGGGCGUAAAGCGCGCGCAGGCGGGAUGAUAAGUCUGUCUUAAAAGUUCGGGGCUCAACCCCGUGAUGGGAUGGAAACUGUCAUUCUUGAGUGUCGGAGAGGAAAGUGGAAUUCCUAGUGUAGCGGUGAAAUGCGUAGAUAUUAGGAGGAACACCAGUGGCGAAGGCGACUUUCUGGACGAUGUCUGACGCU
This 400-nucleotide ribosomal RNA is filed under the name uncultured bacterium. RNAcentral's name for it is "bacterial SSU rRNA". It matches the Rfam family "Bacterial small subunit ribosomal RNA", at positions 355 to 747 of the family's 1533-position model. The record is from RNAcentral.